This 441-nucleotide ribosomal RNA is filed under the name Alectorobius yumatensis. RNAcentral describes it as "Ornithodoros yumatensis partial 16S ribosomal RNA". Lineage: Eukaryota; Metazoa; Arthropoda; Arachnida; Ixodida; Argasidae. The record is from RNAcentral.
CUCUGCUCAAUGAUUUUUUAAAUUGCUGUGGUAUUUUGACUAUACGAAGGUAUUGAAAUAAGGCUUUAAUUGAGUGCUAAGAGAAUGAUUUAACAAAAAUUGACUUUCUUUUUAUUUAAAAUAAAAAUUGAUUUAAUAAUGAAAAAGUUUUUAUGAAUUUUUGGGACAAGCAGACCCUAUGAAUUUUAUUUAAAAUUUUAUUUACUAUUAAUAAAGGAAAAUAAAAUAUUCUUUUAAAUUGGUUGGGGUGACUUUUAAAGAAUGAAUAUCUUUAAAAAGUAAAUAAUUUGAACCUUAAUUUAAGGUUAUUUGUAAAAAAUACUCUAGGGAUAACAGCGUAAUUAUUUUGGAUAGUUCAUAUAGAUGAAAUAGUUUGCGACCUCGAUGCUGGAUUAAGAUAUUUAUAUGAUGUAGAAGUCAUAUUAAAAAGUGCUCAAACUU